GAUGAACGCUGGCGGCGUGCCUAAUACAUGCAAGUCGAGCGAACAGACGAGGAGCUUGCUCCUCUGACGUUAGCGGCGGACGGGUGAGUAACACGUGGAUAACCUACCUAUAAGACUGGGAUAACUUCGGGAAACCGGAGCUAAUACCGGAUAAUAUAUUGAACCGCAUGGUUCAAUAGUGAAAGACGGUUUUGCUGUCACUUAUAGAUGGAUCCGCGCCGCAUUAGCUAGUUGGUAAGGUAACGGCUUACCAAGGCAACGAUGCGUAGCCGACCUGAGAGGGUGAUCGGCCGCACUGGAACUGAGACACGGUCCAGACUCCUACGGGAGGCAGCAGUAGGGAAUCUUCCGCAAUGGGCGAAAGCCUGACGGAGCGACGCCGCGUGAGUUAUGAAGGUCUUCGGAUCGUAAAACUCUGUUAUUAGGGAUGAACAAAUGUGUAAGUAACUAUGCACGUCUUGACGGUACCUAAUCAGAAAGCCACGGCUAACUACGUG
Molecule: ribosomal RNA, 497 nt
Filed under: uncultured bacterium
Lineage: Bacteria
Description: partial 16S ribosomal RNA
Rfam family: Bacterial small subunit ribosomal RNA
Source: RNAcentral